RNAcentral lists this ribosomal RNA (209 nucleotides) under uncultured bacterium. RNAcentral describes it as "partial 16S ribosomal RNA". It matches the Rfam family "Bacterial small subunit ribosomal RNA", at positions 1284 to 1500 of the family's 1533-position model. The record is from RNAcentral.
AGUCUCAGUUCGGAUUGGAGUCUGCAACCCGACUCCAUGAAGCUGGAUUCGCUAGUAAUCGCGCAUCAGCCACGGCGCGGUGAAUACGUUCCCGGGCCUUGUACACACCGCCCGUCAAGCCAUGGGAGCCGGGGGUACCUGAAGUGCGUGACCGCAAGGAGCGCCCUAAGGUAAAACCGGUGACUGGGGCUAAGUCGUAACAAGGUAUC